UACAGAGGGUGCGAGCGUUAAUCGGAAUUACUGGGCGUAAAGCGUGCGCAGGCGGUCUUUUAAGUCAGAUGUGAAAUCCCCGGGCUUAACCUGGGAACUGCAUUCGAGACUGCAUUGCUAGAGUAUGGGAGAGGGAAGUGGAAUUUCCGGUGUAGCGGUGAAAUGCGUAGAUAUCGGAAGGAACAUCAGUGGCGAAAGCGACUUCCUGGACCAAUACUGACGCUCAUGUGCGAAAGCGUGGGGAGCAAACAGG
This 253-nucleotide ribosomal RNA is filed under the name uncultured bacterium. RNAcentral describes it as "partial 16S ribosomal RNA". It matches the Rfam family "Bacterial small subunit ribosomal RNA", at positions 524 to 776 of the family's 1533-position model. The record is from RNAcentral.